This 253-nucleotide ribosomal RNA is filed under the name uncultured bacterium. RNAcentral describes it as "partial 16S ribosomal RNA". It matches the Rfam family "Bacterial small subunit ribosomal RNA", at positions 524 to 776 of the family's 1533-position model. The record is from RNAcentral.
UACGUAGGUGGCGAGCGUUGUCCGGAUUUACUGGGCGUAAAGAGCGCGCAGGCGGUCGUGCAAGUCGCGUGUGAAAGCCCCCGGCUCAACUGGGGAGGGUCACGCGAUACUGCUCGACUCGAAGGCAGGAGAGGGAAGUGGAAUUCCCGGUGUAGUGGUGAAAUGCGUAGAUAUCGGGAGGAACACCAGUGGCGAAGGCGACUUCCUGGCCUGUUCUUGACGCUGAGGCGCGAAAGCUAGGGGAGCGAACAGG